RNAcentral lists this ribosomal RNA (253 nucleotides) under uncultured bacterium. Its description in RNAcentral is "partial 16S ribosomal RNA". It matches the Rfam family "Bacterial small subunit ribosomal RNA", at positions 524 to 776 of the family's 1533-position model. The record is from RNAcentral.
UACAGGGGGUGCAAACGUUGCUCGGAAUCAUUGGGCGUAAAGCGCACGUAGGCGGUCUGUUAUGUCGGAUGUGAAAUCCCUCGGCUCAACCGAGGACGUGCAUACGAAACUGCGAAGCUUGAGUACUGAAGAGGAUCGCGGAAUUCCCGGUGUAGAGGUGAAAUUCGUAGAUAUCGGGAGGAACACCAGUGGCGAAGGCGGCGAUCUGGGCAGAUACUGACGCUGAGGUGCGAAAGCGUGGGGAGCAAACAGG